Molecule: long non-coding RNA, 735 nt
Organism: Medicago truncatula (barrel medic)
Lineage: Eukaryota; Viridiplantae; Streptophyta; Magnoliopsida; Fabales; Fabaceae
Exons: 5
Source: RefSeq, a predicted model, not a curated record
UUCAAUUGCACAGAUCAACAAACAUCAAAAUAAGAUGGAAAAUAAUCGCGGGCAACAGUCAAGGGAUCUGCAAAGGGAAAGACGAACUCAAAAUGCAAGAAAUCCGAGGCAAAAUAUGAGCACCGAGCAAAGAGAACAAGAAUUGUCUAGAAGGCGAACAAAUUAUAGACAAUAAAAAAAAAGGGGGAAAACAACCUCAGACAACAAGUGAAACAAACAGAGAUCACAUGAUGCCAUGUAAUGAUUUGACAAAUUUAAAUUUCACAUCGUCACGUGUUCAAGGAACACAUGACAAUGAGGCUGGAACAAGUAGUCGUCGACGAAUCAAUCACACCACAUCUGAUAUUUUCAAGGAACUCAUGACAAUGAAGCGGAACCAAGUAGAAUAAAUAGUGAUGACACACUACAAGUGAGACUCCAACAUUAAAUGUCUUCUCCGACACCACACCUAAUGACGCAACAUCGUAUUACAAUCAAGUUUUUCGAAAGACAAGAAAUUAUCGAUAAAGGGGUGUACGAAGAAUUAGCUGCAAUUCUUAAAAGGGAAAUGAGACAUGCUUCUGAUUCUAAUUUCAUGUUUGGCCUUCCCAUCAAAUUCCAUCAAUGACGACAAAUAAAAUAUUAGUGAUGAUAAAAGUACAAUGUUAUUAUUAAUGCUUCUGAAUUUAUGAUGUUGAAUAUGAUUUCAAAUAUAGUUUUCAUUUCAUCUAUGUUUUAAUAUAUGUUUAUAUUAAU